GUAAUGUUAUCAUCAGGAGAGUAUCAAAAAAAGUAAGGAUUUUCUUAUUGAGCAAGAAUUUUACAACUUAGUUGCACAAGAAGACCAAUGCAGAGAGAACCGUAAAUUAGCCUUCCAUAUUAUGAAGAGAUAUUAUAAAUAUCUGAAAGAUGCUCAUCUUGGACUGAACUAGUUUGGUACAGUGGUGGAACACUUGUCUACAUGUGCAGAAUACCCAGUUUGGUCCCUAGCACAGAGUAAAGAAAGAAAAAAAAAAACUAAAAAAAAAAUGGCCAAAAAGAAUGCACAGAGAUUAAAUAAAUAUCUGUAGUACUUUGUCUUAUAAGUUUAUACUUGGUAAAGUUUGUUUAGGGAAACAAACAAUUCUAGAUGUCUUCUUAGGGAAUAUUGUCACCUAAUACUGAGAAUGAGUGAAUGAGGUUUGGCUCUGGUAGCUAGACACUCAAGGAUAAGUCUGCUUUCUAAACCAUAGAUUUUAAGUCUCUUCUAGGGGGAACAAAAUACCCAUGGGAGGAGACAAAGUGUGGAGCAGAGACUGAAGGAAAGGCCAUCCAUAGACUGCCCCACCUGGGGAUCCAUCCCAUAUACAGUUACCAAACCCAGACACUAUUGUGGAUGCCAAGAAGUGCUUACUGACAGAGGCCUGAUAUAGCUGUCUCCUGAGAGGCUCUGCCAGAGCCUGACAAAUACAGAGGUGGAUGCUUGCAACCAACCAUUGGACUGAGCACAGGGUCCCCAGUGGAGGCGUUAAAGAAAGGACUGAAGGAGCUGAAGGGGUUUGAAGCACAACAAUAUGAACCAACCAGUACCCUCAGAGCUCCCAGGGACUAAACCACCAAGUAAAGAGUACAUAUGGUGGGACCCAAGGCUCCAGCUGCAUAUGUAGCAGAGGAUGACAUUGUUGGACAUCAGUGGUAGGAGAGACCCUUGGUCCUGUAAAGACUUGAUGCCCCAGUAUAGGGGAAUGCCAGGACAGGGAAGCGGGAGUGGGUGGGUUUGUGAGCAGGGGGAGAGGGUAUGGUAUAGGGGGUUUUUGGAGUGGAAACCAGGAAAGGGGAUAACGUUUGAAACGUAAAUAGAUAAACUAUCUAAUAAAAAAGUUAAGUCUCUUCUAAAUGUUCACAGAAGAAUUUCCUGUAUGUAAGACAUUUGGAAGUUGGUUUAACUCUGUUUUUCCUUUGUUUUGUUCCUCUUAUUUAAUCCAUAGUAGCUAUGUACCUAAAUAUUUAUUAUAUCUUUUUCAAAAGACUAGUGUUUUUCUAAGAAUUUUUCUGUUUUUUAUAACAGCAUUUCAAAAGCUUGGCUUUUUCAUUCAUAUCCUCCUGUCCUCCUUUCCUCCCUCCCUCCAUCUCUCCCUUCUUCCUUCCCUGUCUCCUCCCUUCCUUCCCUGCCUGCCUGCCUUUCCUUCCUACUUUUCUACUGUAUAUGUAGGGUGUAUACAUGUAAACAUUUGCAGGUGAGAGUUUAAUACUAUGUGUCUUCCUCUGGGCUGUGAGAUAGGGUCUCUUACUGACCCUAGAACUCACCAAAUUGGCUGUCUAAUAAGCCCCAGGGGUCUGCUGGUUUAUCCUUCUUUAGCCCUUGUGAUUAUAGGUUGUGCUACUUUGCCUGGCUUAAAUGUAGACGUUGGGGCUCCAAACUUAGUGCUUACAUAGCUAGCCCUCUACUUACUCAGCCACCUCUCUCUCCCUGGGCCUCUCUUUCCCUUGCCUUUUAUUUUAUUUUAUUUUAUUUUAUUUUAUUUUAUUUUAUUUUAUUUUAUUUUAUUUUUGCCAUGCUUGAGAUUGAACCCAGGGAGUACCUUAGCUUUUGACUGAGUUGUAAUUUUUUUUUCUGUUGCUCACAUUCACUAACUCACUCAUUUAUAUACGUUUAACAAAUAUGUCACAUAUUCUCUUUAUAUUUCAGCCAGUUGAUAAGCAUGGAGAUUAUAAAACUGAAUAAAUAGCUGUAGUCUCUGCUCUCCUGAGCUCAAAUUCAAAUCAGAGGCAAAAAGUAUGGGGGGAAUGAUGUGUGCCUGUAAACCCAGAACUUAGGAGGCUGAGGCUAAAGAUCGGAGUUCAAAACCCACCAAGGUCACAUAGUCUUGCCUCAAAAAACCAAAUUAGUACAAACCAAACUAAGGUCAACCAACCAACAAAUAAAAACAAAUUGGGAAAAGCAGAUAAUAAACAACUAUAUACAUAGCAGGAGGUAGUAAAUGUUAUGAUGACAAUAGAGCAGGAAUAGAUGUAAUAUUGUUUGUUUGGCUGGGGUUUUUCAGGUUGGGGUGGGGGAAUUGUUUCCAGUGUAUGGAGUUCUCUUUCCUUGAGAAUAAAGAAUUUCUGUGCAAAUGGUACUAGUGUGAACAGCACUAUCUCACAGUGCUCUGUACUCUGGAUUAUAUUACUGAUCCAGCAUACUUUAUCAGCAAGGGAAGUUAUUUGUGAACCGGGAAACAAUUGUUUGCUUUUUAUGGCAACCUGCCCGAGGAAGAUGGAAAUGUUCUGAAGACAGCCUCCCUCCUUAUGGUAGAUGCUUGAUUUC
Molecule: long non-coding RNA, 2526 nt
Filed under: Mus musculus (house mouse)
Lineage: Eukaryota; Metazoa; Chordata; Mammalia; Rodentia; Muridae
Description: long non-coding RNA chr6:22042664-22045190
Source: RNAcentral